RNAcentral lists this ribosomal RNA (831 nucleotides) under Triticum aestivum (bread wheat). Its description in RNAcentral is "partial small subunit ribosomal RNA". Lineage: Eukaryota; Viridiplantae; Streptophyta; Magnoliopsida; Poales; Poaceae. The record is from RNAcentral.
AUGGCCACGCCGGAGGCAGACGUCGGCGCCCCCGUGAGCGUGACGGCGCCGAUGAUGCUGCACGGGCGCGUGGCGAUCGUCACGGGCGGCGCCGGCGGCAUUGGCUCGGCCGUGUCGAGGCACCUGGCGUCCCUCGGCGCGCGCGUGGCCGUCGCCUACGUCGGGGACCCGGCGCCCGCGCGGGACCUCGUGGCCGCCAUCAACGCCGCCCCCGAGCACGGCGCUUCUGACCCUGGAGGCCCGCGCGCCGUGGCGGUGGAGGCGGACGUGUCGGACGCGGCGCAGGUGCGGGCGCUGUUCGACGCGGCGGCGGCGGCGUUCGGCGGGGAGCUGCACGUGCUGGUCACGGCGGCGGCGGUGAUGGACACCUCCUACCCGCCGCUGGCCGACACCAGCGAGGCGGCCUACGACGCGGCCUUCGGCACCAACGCGCGGGGCACCUUCCUGUGCCUCCGCGAGGCGGCGCGCCGGCUGGCCCGCGACGGGCGGGGGCGGAUCGUCACCUUCUCGUCGUCCGGGGUCGGGUCGCUGCGCCCGGGCUACGCGGCGUACGCGGCCAGCAAGGCGGCCGUGGAGACCAUGACGAGGAUCCUGGCGCGGGAGCUGCGGGGCACCGGGAUCACCGCCAACGCCGUGGCCCCGGGGUCCACGGCCACGCCCAUGUUCUACGGCGGCAAGACGGACGAGGAGGCCGAGCGGUACAUCGCGGAGGCGCCGCUGGGGAGGCUGGGGAUGCCCGAGGACAUCGCGCCGCUUGUGGGCUUCCUCGCCAGCGACGCCGGCGGGUGGGUCAACGCCCAGGUCCUGCGCUGCAACGGCGGCACCAUAUGA